RNAcentral lists this transfer RNA (73 nucleotides) under Sphaerodactylus townsendi. Its description in RNAcentral is "tRNA-Thr". Lineage: Eukaryota; Metazoa; Chordata; Lepidosauria; Squamata; Sphaerodactylidae. The record is from RNAcentral.
UGAGGCUGUGGUUCCAUGGCAGAGCCUCUGUCUUGUAUACAGGUGGUCCUAGGUUCAAUCGCUAGCAUUUUAG